UUGAAUCCAGUGAAGAGGAAGAGUAAUUAAGAGAUCAAGUAGUCUAGAGAGGAAAGGUCGCGGCUGAGAGCCUUCCCUAUUUGUCUUAAUGAAAGAACACCUCUGAGGAGUUUCUCUGAACGUCUUCAGGUUAGUAGGAGAAAACGUGAACAGGCGUUAACUGUUUAAAGUGGAAGCAUAGGCUUCAAGUAAGGGUGGCACCACGGGUAUAACUCUCGUCCCUGAU
RNAcentral lists this non-coding RNA (226 nucleotides) under Halalkalibacter hemicellulosilyticus. Its description in RNAcentral is "Bacillus hemicellulosilyticus T-box sequence". It matches the Rfam family "T-box leader". From Rfam's summary of the family: Uncharged tRNA acts as the effector for transcription antitermination of genes in the T-box leader family. T-boxes are found upstream of many aminoacyl-tRNA synthetase genes and some amino acid biosynthetic genes usually in Gram-positive bacteria. The record is from RNAcentral. Lineage: Bacteria; Bacillati; Bacillota; Bacilli; Caryophanales; Bacillaceae.